GGUGACGCUAAGGACACGUUCCAGGGUCUGAGAAGGAGGCAGGGAAAGAAGGAUGGCAGAGGUCCACACGUCCCACUGCACAGAGGAGGCUGCUGUCGCCGUCACAGAUGAGGCUCAGAGAGGGUGUCUCAUGUCCACGGUGGCUCAGUGUGGAGCAGGAACCCCUGCAGGGCCAUCUCUCUGUCACCUUGAGAAAGGAUGCCUGCCUCAGGGCACAGGGGAUAUUAUGUCACCUGGGCCCGUUUCAGUUCUUACUGAGGGUCUCAGAAAGAAUCCAGCCAUCAAGAGGUGACUGGGGCAGGCCUUUUGGAUGGGGCGUCCUGGCAUGUGCGUGUUUUGGAGCAAGUCCUCGGGCUCAUUCAUUCAAUCGUUCUGUGCAUCAGGACAAAAGGGCUGCUGUGGGGAUCCACAGGGCUCACCUGGCACAGAGCUGGUGCUCAAGACACCCACCUGCGCUGACAGCUCACGGCUCACUGUCCUGCUGCCUCCUCUUCUCGGCCUGUCCUGCGAUGGUCCCCGGCAAACAACAGCACCUGAGCCGCUGUUUCCAGAAGGUGCCUUCCAUCCUCCCACCAACAGCUCGGGCGGCUCCAAAGUCACAGGGAAGGGCCCCCCACCAUCCAACCACUGACAUAGGUGAGUGGUCUGACCCAUCAGAACAGCGGCAGGGAGGCUGUCUGUCUUUCCUUCAGGGGCAAGAUGUCCAGGAAGCUGCCCCUGAGCACCGCCAGGCCCCUGCUUUCCGGGUCUCACUGCCCAACCCCAGCUCGCUGCCCCAGAGCUCUCCUGUAGAUGCCACCUUCCUGCCCUGACAGGAUCCAUGGGCAAAGUGGGAGGGCUCGUACUCCUAGGUGGCUGCAGGUGUCCCUUGGUCUCAACACUGUCAAGCAAAUCUUUAGACGAAGCCAUCCUGGAGAGACCCCCCGCCCAGGGCUGGUGGACACCCCGUCGGGCUCACUUCUGCUCGACGCGGGCCCUUUGCUGCCCCUCGGGGUCUGGCCGUGAGGGGACAUCAAAGGCAUCAUGUCGGGAUCCCUGGGUGGCGCAGCGGUUUGGCGCCUGCCUUUGGCCCAGGGCGCGAUCCUGGAGACCCCGGAUCGAAUCCCACGUCAGGCUCCCGGUGCAUGGAGCCUGCUUCUCCCUCUGCCUAUGUCUCUGCCUCUCUCUCUCUCUCUCUCUCUCUCUCUCUCUCUCUCUCUAUGUGACUAUCAUAAAUAAAUAAAAUUUAAAAAAAAAAAAAAAAAAAGGCAUCAUGUCCCUCAGUGGUUGUCAGCAGUGGAUCGGGGCCACCAGAGUGGGGAAGGGCUGGGAGGGGCCUGGGGCUCUCAGUGUUACCCCGACUC
Molecule: long non-coding RNA, 1343 nt
Filed under: Canis lupus familiaris (dog)
Lineage: Eukaryota; Metazoa; Chordata; Mammalia; Carnivora; Canidae
Description: lncRNA (ENSCAFG00000033946.3)
Source: RNAcentral